UACGAACGCUGGCGGCGUGCUUAACACAUGCAAGUCGAACGGAAAGGCCCUGCUUUUGUGGGGUGCUCGAGUGGCGAACGGGUGAGUAACACGUGAGUAACCUGCCCUUGACUUUGGGAUAACUUCAGGAAACUGGGGCUAAUACCGGAUAGGAGCUCCUGCUGCAUGGUGGGGGUUGGAAAGUUUCGGCGGUUGGGGAUGGACUGGCGGCUUAUCAGCUUGUUGGUGGGGUAGUGGCUUACCAAGGCUUUGACGGGUAGCCGGCCUGAGAGGGUGACCGGCCACAUUGGGACUGAGAUACGGCCCAGACUCCUACGGGAGGCAGCAGUGGGGAAUAUUGCACAAUGGGCGGAAGCCUGAUGCAGCAACGCCGCGUGCGGGAUGACGGCCUUCGGGUUGUAAACCGCUUUCGCCUGUGACGAAGCGUGAGUGACGGUAAUGGGUAAAGAAGCACCGGCUAACUACGUG
RNAcentral lists this ribosomal RNA (468 nucleotides) under uncultured bacterium. Its description in RNAcentral is "partial 16S ribosomal RNA". It matches the Rfam family "Bacterial small subunit ribosomal RNA", at positions 29 to 507 of the family's 1533-position model. The record is from RNAcentral.